UACGAAGGGUGCAAGCGUUACUCGGAAUUACUGGGCGUAAAGGGUGCGUAGGUGGUUGUUUAAGUCUGUUGUGAAAGCCCCGGGCUCAACCUGGGAAUGGCAAUGGAUACUGGACAGCUAGAGUGCGGUAGAGGGUAGUGGAAUUCCCGGUGUAGCAGUGAAAUGCGUAGAGAUCGGGAGGAACACCAGUGGCGAAGGCGGCUACCUGGACCAGCACUGACACUGAAGCACGAAAGCGUGGGGAGCAAACAGG
Molecule: ribosomal RNA, 253 nt
Filed under: uncultured bacterium
Lineage: Bacteria
Description: partial 16S ribosomal RNA
Rfam family: Bacterial small subunit ribosomal RNA
Source: RNAcentral